GAGUGUCCCAGCAGCUCCUGGGCUAGAGCACCAAGACCGAGUGCUCCUGGGAAGUAAAGACAUAGGAUCCAAGAAUGAGGGUUCCCCCAUGGCCUUUGCGGAGCUCUGAGGGCUCCGGGAAAGUACAGCCCAUGGGUCCAAGGACCUAGUGGGUUAAGAGCGUUUCCCAUGAUCCUCCUGUGUGUGCUCCUGGGAUUGCUGGGAAAUGUGGUCUUAGGGCCAGAGAAGUAGUUUUGGAGAAGGGCCCCCAAAGGCUCAUGGGAAACAGCAUAUUUGUAACUAGAUGGGGCCAGAAGGUGCUUCUGUUGGGUCCCCCAAGGGCUGCCUAGAAAACUUAGUGCCUCUGGGCCCUCCUGGGCCCAAGGGCCUACUGGGAG
This 377-nucleotide long non-coding RNA is filed under the name Homo sapiens (human). Its description in RNAcentral is "long non-coding RNA NONHSAT239474". The record is from RNAcentral. Lineage: Eukaryota; Metazoa; Chordata; Mammalia; Primates; Hominidae.